Molecule: ribosomal RNA, 465 nt
Filed under: Vreelandella stevensii
Lineage: Bacteria; Pseudomonadati; Pseudomonadota; Gammaproteobacteria; Oceanospirillales; Halomonadaceae
Description: partial 16S ribosomal RNA
Rfam family: Bacterial small subunit ribosomal RNA
Source: RNAcentral
CCUACGGGAGGCUGCAGUGGGGAACAUUGGACAAUGGGGGCAACCCUGAUCCAGCCAUGCCGCGUGUGUGAAGAAGGCCCUCGGGUUGUAAAGCACUUUCAGUGAGGAAGAACGCCUGGUGGUUAAUACCCAUCAGGAAAGACAUCACUCACAGAAGAAGCACCGGCUAACUCCGUGCCAGCAGCCGCGGUAAUACGGAGGGUGCGAGCGUUAAUCGGAAUUACUGGGCGUAAAGCGCGCGUAGGUGGCUUGAUAAGCCGGUUGUGAAAGCCCCGGGCUCAACCUGGGAACGGCAUCCGGAACUGUCAAGCUAGAGUGCAGGAGAGGAAGGUAGAAUUCCCGGUGUAGCGGUGAAAUGCGUAGAGAUCGGGAGGAAUACCAGUGGCGAAGGCGGCCUUCUGGACUGACACUGACACUGAGGUGCGAAAGCGUGGGUAGCAAACAGGAUUAGAUACCCUAGUAGUC